GGUAAAAUGGCUGAAGAAAAAGCAUUAGACUGUAAAUCUAAAGAUAAAGGUUGCACUCCUUUUUUUACCA
This 70-nucleotide transfer RNA is filed under the name Trinomys albispinus. RNAcentral's name for it is "tRNA-Tyr". It matches the Rfam family "tRNA". From Rfam's summary of the family: Transfer RNA (tRNA) molecules are approximately 80 nucleotides in length. Their secondary structure includes four short double-helical elements and three loops (D, anti-codon, and T loops). Lineage: Eukaryota; Metazoa; Chordata; Mammalia; Rodentia; Echimyidae. The record is from RNAcentral.